Molecule: non-coding RNA, 341 nt
Organism: Coffea arabica (coffee)
Lineage: Eukaryota; Viridiplantae; Streptophyta; Magnoliopsida; Gentianales; Rubiaceae
Source: RefSeq, a predicted model, not a curated record
AUUACAUCAAGCUAAGAAAGAGGGCUGCUAUCCACGGUUUUCUUGAGCAUCUAAGGGGCCGAAAUUUCUGCCUUCAUCCUCUAAUCAAGCGCUCAAGGGGACCUUCAAGAGGAACUCGAAGUGGACGCCUAGACAUUGUUUGAGUAUUACUCUCUUGUUGCUAUAGGGUUAGAGACCAAGGGUGCUCGUGAGUAGUACUAGAUUGUUCUCUUUUGAAGACUUUGAGUUACAUUAUAACGGAUGGCUAUAGUACUCUUUUCCGUUGGAUUGUAUUUAAGUUUGAAAGCUACAUAGUUGUAAGUGUAAGAUAUUUGAAGUACUUUAAUUAUGUAUUGAAGUUA